This 482-nucleotide ribosomal RNA is filed under the name Salmonella enterica. RNAcentral's name for it is "partial 23S ribosomal RNA". It matches the Rfam family "Bacterial large subunit ribosomal RNA", at positions 2344 to 2823 of the family's 2925-position model. The record is from RNAcentral. Lineage: Bacteria; Pseudomonadati; Pseudomonadota; Gammaproteobacteria; Enterobacterales; Enterobacteriaceae.
GGUUAGUGCAAUGGCAUAAGCCAGCUUGACUGCGAGCGUGACGGCGCGAGCAGGUGCGAAAGCAGGUCAUAGUGAUCCGGUGGUUCUGAAUGGAAGGGCCAUCGCUCAACGGAUAAAAGGUACUCCGGGGAUAACAGGCUGAUACCGCCCAAGAGUUCAUAUCGACGGCGGUGUUUGGCACCUCGAUGUCGGCUCAUCACAUCCUGGGGCUGAAGUAGGUCCCAAGGGUAUGGCUGUUCGCCAUUUAAAGUGGUACGCGAGCUGGGUUUAGAACGUCGUGAGACAGUUCGGUCCCUAUCUGCCGUGGGCGCUGGAGAACUGAGGGGGGCUGCUCCUAGUACGAGAGGACCGGAGUGGACGCAUCACUGGUGUUCGGGUUGUCAUGCCAAUGGCACUGCCCGGUAGCUAAAUGCGGAAGAGAUAAGUGCUGAAAGCAUCUAAGCACGAAACUUGCCCCGAGAUGAGUUCUCCCUGAGACUUAA